AAAUGAAUAGACGGGGAGGCGCACAACCAGUGGAGCAUGUGGUUUAAUUCGAUACAAAGCGAAGAACCUUACCUGGGUUUGACAUCCUUCCUUUUCCUGCUUUGGAAACAGAGCAAGGGGCUGUAUUUAUACAGCAAAGGUUGGACAGCUACUGCAUGGUUGUCGUCAGCUCGUGUCGUGAGAUGUUCCCUUAAGUGGGGUAACGAGCGCAACCCUUAUUCUGUGUUGGAUUUUCACAGAAGACUGCCCUGCCGUUGGUAGGGAGGAAGGUGGGGAUGACGUCAAAUCAGCAUGGUGCUUAUAUCCAGGGCGACACACAUCCUACAAUGAGAAGUAACAAUGGGCUGCCAAGCCGCAAGGCGGAGCUAAUCCCAUCAAACCUUCUCUCAGUGGGGAUUGCAGGCUGCAAUUCGCCUGCAUGAACUUGGAAUUGGUAGUAAUCGCGAAUCAGCAGGUCGCGGUGAAUACGUUCUCGCCUCUUGCACACACCGCCCGU
Molecule: ribosomal RNA, 496 nt
Filed under: uncultured bacterium
Lineage: Bacteria
Description: bacterial SSU rRNA
Rfam family: Bacterial small subunit ribosomal RNA
Source: RNAcentral